CAGAGUAUUACGAGCCACAGCUUAAAACUCAAAGGACUUGACGGUGUCCUACACCCAUCUAGAGGAGCCUGUUCUAUAAUUGAUAAUCCACAAUAUACCUCACCAUUUUUUGUAAUACAGUUUAUAUACCGCCGUCAUAUAGCUUACCUUUUAAAAGAAAAAUAGUAAGCAAGAUUAUUUAAAAUUUAAAAGUCAGGUCAAGGUGUAGCAUACAGGAUGGAAGAAAUGGGCUACAUUUUCUUUAUAGAAUACACGGAAUGUUAAAUGAAACAACACACGAAGGAGGAUUUAGUAGUAAAAAGAAAAAAGAGAGUUCUUUUAAAAUUAUGGCAAUAGGACAAGUACACACCGCCCGUCACCCUCAUUUAUUAAAAUAAAAAUAUAUAAAUUAAUAAUAAUUAAGAAGAGGAAAGUCGUAACAUGGUAAGUCUACCGGAAGGUGGUCUUGGAAU
Molecule: ribosomal RNA, 452 nt
Filed under: Chiropterotriton sp. CARIE 1162
Lineage: Eukaryota; Metazoa; Chordata; Amphibia; Caudata; Plethodontidae
Description: partial 12S ribosomal RNA
Rfam family: Bacterial small subunit ribosomal RNA
Source: RNAcentral